AUGCUGAAAGCUGGGUACCGAAAGAGAUCUUUCUACGGUGGCCCAGACUACAAAUGUACCAAGUGCGGUGCAGUCUUCUGGUUCGAGGAGAGGGUGAGAUCGGACUCCGCUAUUACACUAAGGCGAGUGGUUUACAACAAAUGUUGCAAGGGUGGUAAGGUGUAUAUUACACCUUUUAAGAAGCCACCCUUGUUUCUCUCUGAGUUGUUGAGAUACAAUGGUUCCUCGCAUAGCAGAGAGUUUAUAAAAAAAUCGUCAGUACAACUACCUUUUUGCAUUUACUUCCAUUGGAACUACUGUUGA
RNAcentral lists this ribosomal RNA (303 nucleotides) under Triticum aestivum (bread wheat). RNAcentral's name for it is "partial small subunit ribosomal RNA". The record is from RNAcentral. Lineage: Eukaryota; Viridiplantae; Streptophyta; Magnoliopsida; Poales; Poaceae.